Molecule: unclassified non-coding RNA, 237 nt
Filed under: Hevea brasiliensis (rubber tree)
Lineage: Eukaryota; Viridiplantae; Streptophyta; Magnoliopsida; Malpighiales; Euphorbiaceae
Source: RNAcentral
GAUGCUGGUGCUGCCUGGGAUUGCAGAUCUCGAAAAGCUGGCGGACUAUCUAUUUUUUGUGAUUUAGGAGAAAUGUGGUUUAGCACCUUAUCACCAUGCUCGCUACAAGGUCUCUUCCGACGGAUAAUAGUGUCUCUAUCCUCCACUGGUGACAAAUUGUGAUUAUGCAAGAUAGUUGGGUAAGGGAAGCCACCAUAAGAACCAGUAUAAUGCAAGGCAAUAGUAUCUAGUGAUGGC